This 498-nucleotide ribosomal RNA is filed under the name uncultured bacterium. RNAcentral describes it as "partial 16S ribosomal RNA". It matches the Rfam family "Bacterial small subunit ribosomal RNA", at positions 28 to 507 of the family's 1533-position model. The record is from RNAcentral.
GACGAACGCUGGCGGCGUGCCUAAUACAUGCAAGUCGAACGAGAGCGCCCGGUGCUUGCACUGGUCAAUCUAGUGGCGAACGGGUGAGUAACACGUGGGUAACCUGCCCAUCAGAGGGGGAUAACAUCCGGAAACGGAUGCUAAAACCGCAUAGGUCUUCGAACCGCAUGGUUUGAAGAGGAAAAGAGGCGCAAGCUUCUGCUGAUGGAUGGACCCGCGGUGCAUUAGCUAGUUGGUGAGGUAACGGCUCACCAAGGCCGUGAUGCAUAGCCGACCUGAGAGGGUGAUCGGCCACAUUGGGACUGAGACACGGCCCACACUCCUACGGGAGGCAGCAGUAGGGAAUCUUCCGCAAUGGACGGAAGUCUGACGGAGCAACGCCGCGUGAGUGAAGAAGGUUUUCGGAUCGUAAAACUCUGUUGUUAGAGAAGAACAAGUGCUUGAGUAACUGUUAGCGCCUUGACGGUAUCUAACCAGAAAGCCACGGCUAACUACGUG